UGGGUAAUUUUGCACAAUGGGGGAAACCCUGAUGCAGCGACGCCGCGUUAUUUAGAAGGCCUUCGGGUUGUAAAAAUCUUUUCUAUGGGAAGAAAAUGACAGUACCAUAGGAAUAAGGACCGGCUAAUUACGUGCCAGCAGCCGCGGUAAUACGUAAGGUCCGAGCGUUGUCCGGAAUCAUUGGGCGUAAAGGGUACGUAGGCGGGUAAGCAAGUUAGAAGUGAAAUCCUGUAGCUCAACUACAGUAAGCUUUUAAAACUGCUCAUCUUGAGAUAUGGAAGGGAAAGUGGAAUUCCUAGUGUAGCGGUGAAAUGCGUAGAUAUUAAAAAGAAUACCGGUGGCGAAGGCGACUUACUGGGCUCAUUCUGACGCUGAGGAACGAAAGCGUGGGUAGCAAACAGG
RNAcentral lists this ribosomal RNA (402 nucleotides) under Verrucomicrobiota bacterium. RNAcentral describes it as "Verrucomicrobia bacterium partial 16S ribosomal RNA". It matches the Rfam family "Bacterial small subunit ribosomal RNA", at positions 355 to 776 of the family's 1533-position model. The record is from RNAcentral. Lineage: Bacteria; Pseudomonadati; Verrucomicrobiota.